Molecule: transfer RNA, 74 nt
Filed under: Schizosaccharomyces pombe (fission yeast)
Lineage: Eukaryota; Fungi; Ascomycota; Schizosaccharomycetes; Schizosaccharomycetales; Schizosaccharomycetaceae
Description: tRNA Asparagine
Rfam family: tRNA
About the family: Transfer RNA (tRNA) molecules are approximately 80 nucleotides in length. Their secondary structure includes four short double-helical elements and three loops (D, anti-codon, and T loops). Further hydrogen bonds mediate the characteristic L-shaped molecular structure. tRNAs have two regions of fundamental functional importance: the anti-codon, which is responsible for specific mRNA codon recognition, and the 3' end, to which the tRNAs corresponding amino acid is attached (by aminoacyl-tRNA synthetases). tRNAs cope with the degeneracy of the genetic code in two manners: having more than one tRNA (with a specific anti-codon) for a particular amino acid; and 'wobble' base-pairing, i.e. permitting non-standard base-pairing at the 3rd anti-codon position.
Source: Rfam by way of RNAcentral
GGUCGGGUAGCGUAGUUGGUUAUUGCGCACGACUGUUAAUCGUGAGGUCGAGGGUUCGAGUCCCUCCCUGACCG